This 119-nucleotide ribosomal RNA is filed under the name Triticum aestivum (bread wheat). The record is from RNAcentral. Lineage: Eukaryota; Viridiplantae; Streptophyta; Magnoliopsida; Poales; Poaceae. RNAcentral also lists the same sequence under 1 other name.
GGAUGCGAUCAUACCAGCACUAAAGCACCGGAUCCCAUCAGAACUCCAAAGUUAAGUGUGCUUGGGCGAGAGUAGUACUAGGAUGGGUGACCUCCUGGGAAGUCCUGGUGCUGCAUUCC